This is a small nuclear RNA of Erinaceus europaeus (western European hedgehog), 108 nucleotides long. NCBI's taxonomy places the organism in Eukaryota, Metazoa, Chordata, Mammalia, Eulipotyphla, Erinaceidae. The record is from Ensembl.
AUGCUCACUUCAGCAGCACAUAUACUAAAAAUUGGAACAAUACAGAGAAAAUUAGCAUGGCCCCUGCGCAAAGAUGACACACAAAUUUGUAAAGCACUCCCUAUUUUU